GAUGAACGCUGGCGGCGUGCCUAAUACAUGCAAGUCGAGCGAACAGACGAGGAGCUUGCUCCUCUGACGUUAGCGGCGGACGGGUGAGUAACACGCCCAUAACCUACCUAUAAGACUGGGAUAACUUCGGGAAACCGGAGCUAAUACCGGAUAAUAUAUUGAACCGCAUGGUUCAAUAGUGAAAGACGGUUUUGCUGUCACUUAUAGAUGGAUCCGCGCCGCAUUAGCUAGUUGGUAAGGUAACGGCUUACCAAGGCAACGAUGCGUAGCCGACCUGAGAGGGUGAUCGGCCACACUGGAACUGAGACACGGUCCAGACUCCUACGGGAGGCAGCAGUAGGGAAUCUUCCGCAAUGGGCGAAAGCUUGACGGAGCAACGCCGCGUGAGUGAUGAAGGUCUUCGGAUCGUAAAACUCUGUUAUUAGGGAAGAACAAAUGUGUAAGUAACUAUGCACGUCUUGACGGUACCUAAUCAGAAAGCCACGGCUAACUACGUG
Molecule: ribosomal RNA, 497 nt
Filed under: uncultured bacterium
Lineage: Bacteria
Description: partial 16S ribosomal RNA
Rfam family: Bacterial small subunit ribosomal RNA
Source: RNAcentral